This 26361-nucleotide long non-coding RNA is filed under the name Hordeum vulgare. RNAcentral's name for it is "long non-coding RNA (HVUL_LNC007746)". The record is from RNAcentral. Lineage: Eukaryota; Viridiplantae; Streptophyta; Magnoliopsida; Poales; Poaceae.
UUCAAUUUACUGCACGUCUGCACAUGCGUGCAAACCCAAACAUGCAUUUACAAUCCUGUUACAGAACAACGGACAUUCGCAUGGCUUGCAAAAACUCUAGCAAUAGCCACAUUCGUAACUACACCCGGUGGCGCUUUUUCACAGUUAUGCAUGUCGUUUGCUUCUCUUGAGAAAUGACAUGAUGUUGCUGCCAUGGCUGCCUUUCUUUUCUUCUUGUGAUGCCCCCCUGCAGCAACGUGAACAUCCUGCAUAAAAUUCAGAGGAGAAUUUCUUAUGCAUCACGGUAAAAAAGAAGGCAUGUCUGUGCUUGCAUUGCUUGGUGCAUCGCUGAAUUGUGCACACACCUGGCAAUGUCCUGUUGAUUUAUUGGUGUAAAUAGUGUCUAGAGCACAUUUCUGAGACAAUAUAUGAUACUAGUAUGACAUAUGAAUACCUCUGCUCUAAAGGAAAAUGACCUCGUUAUGGAUGCUGGGUUGCCAACGUCUGCACCCGCCACGGCAUGCUCCCUCCCUGAUAAGAUUACCAUGUCAUUAGCCAUAUGGUAAAUGAAUCAUGGCGAUAUGAAAAGAGUAGGCUUAAAACAAGUGGGAAACACUUGCNNNNNNNNNNNNNNNNNNNNNNNNNNNNNNNNNNNNNNNNNNNNNNNNNNNNNNNNNNNNNNNNNNNNNNNNNNNNNNNNNNNNNNNNNNNNNNNNNNNNCACCUUUGCCGUCUGCCAGCUGAUGGCACACGUCUUUGCCAUCAGCUGGCAGACGGCAAAAGAGACUAUAUAGUUCUUGUUUUUUUGUUUAUAUUAUUAUAUAUAUAUAUAUAUAUAUUUGACAGCACAUUUAUAUAAUUCACCACACAUAUAUGAUAUAUAGUUCACCACACAUAUACUUGCCAACACAUAUAUAUAAUUCACCACACAUAUAUGAUUCACCAAUGUGCAUCCCCAUAUAUCCAAAGAACCAACAUACCAAGUAUUGCACUAUUUAUCCAUAUAUACAUAUACAUAUAGUUCGACAUUGUUCAUCAACUCAAAUGAAAACUAGAUGAUAUACAUAUAAAGUUCAUCCAUCAACAUUGUUCAACUCCAGGAAUGCCAGCUUCCAUGCAUGUAGUAUAUCCAAUCUCCAAAAAUGUGAAUAAGAAAGUUAGAAGAAGAACAAAAUAUGAUGUUUUUCAGCUAAUUAUGUCAUUUUUAGCGGAAAACAAGCUAAGUAUAUGUGUGGUGAACUAUAUAUCAUUUGUUGGAGCUAAAUUACCUAAUUAUGUCUUUUUUGAGCUAAAUGGGCUAAUUAUGUCAUUUUAGAGGAAAACAAGCUAAGUAUAUAAUAUUCAUGAGCUAACCAAGGUUCUUCUGCCAUUUUGAGCUUAUUAUGGCAUUUUGGAGCUAAAUGGGCUAAUUAUGUCAUUGUUGGGUUAAUUAAAGCAAGGAUAAUAUGAAAGAGGAGAAGAAAGAGGAGGAGGAGGAGAAGAAGAAGAAAUCAAGAAGAAGGAGGAGGAGGAGGAGAAGGAUAGAAGGUCCUUGGCCUUCUCCUCCUCCUCCUCCUCCUCCUUCUCCUUCUUCUUCUUCUUCUUCUCUUCUUCNNNNNNNNNNNNNNNNNNNNNNNNNNNNNNNNNNNNNNNNNNNNNNNNNNNNNNNNNNNNNNNNNNNNNNNNNNNNNNNNNNNNNNNNNNNNNNNNNNNNAAAACUCCAUCAGCAUGGAGAUUCUUCAUGCGUUUUUACACCAAUAUGACCUAAGCGGCAGUGCCACAAGAAAGUGAUACUAUCAUUAUUAACUGUACAUCUUUUUGGCAUCAAUGUUAUAAAUAUGUGUAUCAUCACUAUUGAGAUUCAAUAACAAUAAACCAUUCACAUUGGGUGCAUGACUAUACGUCCAUUUUUGCAUCAUGAAUCUUCAUAGAUAUUUGUCUUAUUAUUAUCCAUUAUUCCCUGUUACUAUGUAAUUCUUAUGAGUUUUCUCUUUGAUUAUGCAAGGUACAUUACGAAGAGGGAAGUAUCUGGAAACUAGAAUUGUGGACCGAGAAACCGAGGAAAAGGUAGAAAAUCAAGUUGCUCCAAAUGACAUGAAACUUCACACAUAUUUUUUAUAGAAUAUAUAAGAAUUAUUGGGCCCAAAAUAUAUCGCAUAAGGGCAGCCACCUGGGCACAAGCCAACAGGGCGCCCCCCAGGCCGCGCCCUGAUGGCUUGUGGGGCCCGACGUUGGUCCCCCGACCGCCCUCUUAUCAUAUAUGGUGUGUUUUACCCUAGAAAAGAUCAAGGCAUAACUUUUGGGAUGAAGCUCCACCGUCUCUAGGAGAAAACCUGGGCAGAGGCCCCUUUUCUCUCCGACAAAAGUGAUUCUGUCGGAGGAAUUACUCUCCGGGAGGGGGAAGUCGAAGCCAUCGUCACCACUAACGCUUCNNNNNNNNNNNNNNNNNNNNNNNNNNNNNNNNNNNNNNNNNNNNNNNNNNNNNNNNNNNNNNNNNNNNNNNNNNNNNNNNNNNNNNNNNNNNNNNNNNNNGAGAUUCUGAGCAAGUUUCAUAUAGGACACGAUCAAAUCGGAGCUACGGAUCAAAAACUACGAGCAAAACAAGAUAUCACUACAAUCUGCCAAAAACAGCCACAUAGCAUUUCCUACACCCCACAACUACGAGCUACACAACUCAAAUAUAAUCAACCAAGGCAUGUCACGAAAGAGGGCAAGAAGAACUACCACAAACAACUAACAACAACAAGCAUGGCAGCAUGGAUCACUAGGGAAUGACGUCACAAAAUGGCUCCUCACACGCAGUUUCAGACUUAGUGAAAAUUACACUUCAUGAAAGUGCAGUUUUCGAUCUGAAGCCAUAUUGAUAGCAGAAAAACCACAAGCUACAGGACUCCAAAUGGCAUGAAAAUUCACAGCAUGCUAUAGAAACACAAGGUUUACAACUAACUCCAUUGGACCAACCUCAAAAGAGNNNNNNNNNNAACUUCAUGAAAGUGCAGUUUUCGAUCUGAAGCCAUAUUGACAGCAGCAAACCAAUAGCUACAAGACUCCAAAUGACAUGAAAAUUCACAGCAUGCUAGAGAAACACAAGGUUUACAACUAACUCCAUUGGACCAACCUCAAAAGAGCUACAGAUCACAAGAUAGGAGCAAAACAAAACAGCAACAAAAUAUAACAGAUUCCAAACUUAGAAAUAUUUCAGCUCCUCCAAAUCAGCACUAUUUCUAGCAACUUGAGAGCAAGCAAACCACACCUAAACAUGCAUUUCUAUUGCAACCAAAAAUACCAGGGGCUAGAGUAAACAUCAAAGAUCAACUCUCUAGUUGACAACUCCGUCAAACGAAGCACGAAAUAAAUCCUACGAAAAAUACAAGAGGGGAACAUAGCAAAAUAUCGCACGAACUAACUUGCUCAAAAGCUAAAACUAAUUGCACAGAAAAAUCCUAUGGAUUUUUAUACCCCGAAAACAUAUAAAAUAUGUGGGGUUGCACAACAAAAAUAUUGCCACACGUAAAUGCGCGAUAAUAUCCUAACCACGGAAAAUAAACUAGCGGCACAUCCCUACGCGCAAAAAAAUACAAAUGACCGCUCUAAAAUACAUGGCAAGAGGGUUCCUAAAACAUGGACAUUUAUACUACGGCAUCCGAGCAAUUCGAACACGCGCGGAAAAUAUACUACGGAGCGGAUCCUAUUGGAACAACAACUAAAUCUAUGCAUAUGGCGUCUCAAACUACGUCAAACAAUUAUGCAUGUUGCAAAAACGUAAUCUACGCGCAAAACUACCCAAAAUCCAUAUGCNNNNNNNNNNUAAACGGAAUAAAAGUUACGGGCAUUUUAAUAUACGUCUUUUUACUGGAAUUACUUAAUUCCUAAAGCAUCCUAAAUUACCUAAUAGGCCGAACUUUGGCACAACAUAUCUAAAAUGUGCUGGGGCGGGGCUUACCAUGGGGGCCUCUGGGCUGGUUGGAGGGGCUGGAGCGGACUGGGCCUCGAAGGGAGGCCGGCCCAGCUCGGCGCUGGAGAGGCAUGCCGCUGAGGGGUCGUCCACCUGGGCCGCAGGGAGCGAGGUGGGCCUCUGGCGAGGCCCAGCUGGGGCACUCGUCGUCUUCCCUCGAGCCGUGCUCGCUCCCGAGCGCAACAAGGGACGCUGGCGGCAGGCUCGACGGGGAAACAACUCAGCACCGACACGGGGGGGGUGGCUGGCAGCUCCGGCGCGGCUCCGUUGCGGGGAACCGGAUCUGGGGACGUCGCCCACCUGGCACGGCAAGACAGGGAGGCCACGGCGAAGCGGCGGCUGCGGCCGAUCUGGAUCUGGCAGAAGAAGGGGAGGCACGACGGGGGGAACUCCGGCCGCCAGCGGUGAGGCAGGAAGCUGGCCGACGGCGAAGGACGAAGCUCCGGUGAAGCAACAGCCGGAGGCCGACGCGACGGGAGAUGACAGGGCGAGGCCCACUGCGGGCCGACUCCUGCCAUGGCACAGCUCGGGAGCCUCGGGCAGGGAGAGGCUCGGCUGGGGGCGGCGCGAUCCGGGCCCGGGCGGGCCUCAGAUGGGCUCGGCGGGCCCGCGGUGGCUGGCAGANNNNNNNNNNNNNNNNNNNNNNNNNNNNNNNNNNNNNNNNNNNNNNNNNNNNNNNNNNNNNNNNNNNNNNNNNNNNNNNNNNNNNNNNNNNNNNNNNNNNCCGCCGGCCCAGCCACUGCCCCGCAGGCCUCGGCGCCGCCCCCGCAGCCCCACUGCCGGUAAGCCCAUCCACCCCCGCCCCCUUGUUCUUUAUUUUUUGAUUUUUUAUUGUUUGGUAUUUAGUUUUUUGGAAUUAGAUUAUAACUACCGGCAUGAUUUUUUAUUGUUGUUGUAGUAGUUGUUCUUGUUAUUGUAGUUGUUGUUGUUAUUGUAGUUGUUGUGGCAUAUAUAGUUUAGUUGGUAGGUUGGUUAAUUAGUAGUUUUAGUGGUAGUUUAGUUAGUUGGUAGAUUUAGUUAGUUAAUUAGUAGAUUUAGUAGGUAGUUUAGUGGUAGAUUUUGUUUUGUUAUUUAGUGGUAGCUAGAUUAUUCUUUAGUUACUUAGUGGUAGAUUCUGUUUUUGUUAUUUUUUUUGCUGUUUAGUGCUAUCUAGGUUUAGCGAUAGGUUUAGUUAGCUUCGUUAGUUAGGUUAGUUAGUUAGUUAGCUUAAUAGAAAGAAUAGGAAGAAGAAGAAGAGGAGGAGGAGGAGAAGAGGAGAAGAGGAGGAGGAGAAGAAGAAGAAGAAGAAGAAGAGGAUGAGGAGGAGGAGAAGACAAAAAUAAGAAGGAGAAGAAGAAAAGAAGAAGAGAUGAAGAAGAGAAGAAGAAAAGAAGAAUACCUUCUCCUCCUUCUCCUUCUUCUCCUCCUUCUUCUCCUCCUCCUCCUUCUCCUUCUUCUUGAUUUCUUCUUCUUCUUCUCCUCCUCCUCUUUCUUAUCCUCUAUCUUAUUCUCCUUACCUUAUUUUCCCCAACAAUGAGAUAAUUAGCCCAUUUAGCUAAAAAAUGGCCAUUCUUCUCCUCUUUCAUAUUAUCCUUGCUUUAAUUAACCCAACAAUGANNNNNNNNNNACCAUAAUAAGCUCAAAAUGGCAUAAGAACCUUGGUUAGCUCAUUAAUAUUAUAUACUUAGCUUGUUUUCCUCUAAAAUGGGAUAAUUAGCCCAUUUAGCUAAAAAAAGACAUAAUUAGGUAAUUUAGCUCCAACAAGAGGAGAAGAGGAGAAGAAAUAGGCAAAAUGAAAAGAAAGAAAGAAAGAAGAAGAAGAAGAAGAAGAAGAGAAGAAGGAGAAGGAGGAGGAGGAGGAGGGCCUUCUCCUCCUCCUCCUCCUCCUUCUUCUUGAUUUCUUCUUCUUCUCCUCCUCCUCCUCUUUCUUCUCCUCUUUCAUAUUAUCCUUGCUUUAAUUAACCCAACAAUGACAUAAUUAGCCCAUUUAGCUCCAAAAUGCCAUAAUAAGCUCAAAAUGGCAGAAGAACCUUGGUUAGCUCAUGAAUAUUAUAUACUUAGCUUGUUUUCCUCUAAAAUGACAUAAUUAGCCCAUUUAGCUCAAAAAAGACAUAAUUAGGUAAUUUAGCUCCAACAAAUGAUAUAUAGUUCACCACACAUAUACUUAGCUUGUUUUCCGCUAAAAAUGACAUAAUUAGCUGAAAAACAUCAUAUUUUGUUCUUCUUCUAACUUUCUUAUUCACAUUUUUGGAGAUUGGAUAUACUACAUGCAUGGAAGCUGGCAUUCCUGGAGUUGAACAAUGUUGAUGGAUGAACUUUAUAUGUAUAUCAUCUAGUUUUCAUUUGAGUUGAUGAACAAUGUCGAACUAUAUGUAUAUGUAUAUAUGGAUAAAUAGUGCAAUACUUGGUAUGUUGGUUCUUUGGAUAUAUGGGGAUGCACAUUGGUGAAUCAUAUAUGUGUGGUGAAUUAUAUAUAUGUGUUGGCAAGUAUAUGUGUGGUGAACUAUAUAUCAUAUAUGUGUGGUGAAUUAUAUAAAUGUGCUGUCAAAUAUAUAUAUAUAUAUAUANNNNNNNNNNNNNNNNNNNNNNNNNNNNNNNNNNNNNNNNNNNNNNNNNNNNNNNNNNNNNNNNNNNNNNNNNNNNNNNNNNNNNNNNNNNNNNNNNNNNCUCUCUCGGUGCAACCCUACCUCUCUCCUUCCUCAUCCUCUACGGUGCUUGGCGAAGCCUUGUCGGAGUCCCACGUAGCUCCAUCGUCACCAUGCCGUCGUGCUUCCAGAUCUCUCCCUCAACCUCUUCUUCCUCCUUGAUGGUUCAAGGUGUUGGAGACGUCACCGGGCUGCACGUGUGUUGAACGCGGAGGUGCCAUGGUUUGGCACGUAGAUCAGAAUCACACCGCGAUCUGAAUCGCUACGAGUACGACUCCAUCAACCGCGUUCUAGUAUAGCUUCCUCUUAGCGAUCUCCAAAGGUAUGAAGUUGCUCUUCCCUCUUGCUCAUUGCUGGUCUCUCCAUAGAUAGAUCCUUGUAUGGCGUAGGAAAAUUUUGAAUUUACUACGUUCCCCAACAGUGGCAUCCGAGCUAAGGUUCUAUGCGUAGAUUCUAUGCACGAGUAGAACACAAAAGUUGUGGGCGCUGAUUUUGUCAAUUGCUUGCCGUUACUAGUCUUAUCUUUUCCGGCGGUAUUGUGGGAUGAAGCGGCCCGGACCGACUUUACACGUACGCUUACGUGAGACAGGUUCCACCGCCAGACAUGCACAUGGUGCAUAAGGUGGCUAGCGGGUGUCUGUCUCUCCCACUCUAGUCGGAUUGGGUUCAAUGAAAAGGGUCCUUAUGAACGGUAAAUAGCUUUGGCAUGUCAACGUUGUGGCUGUCACGUAGGUAAGAAGGUGUUCUUGCUAGAAACCCAAAUCAGCCACGUAAAACUUGCAACAACAAUUAGAGGACGUCUAACUUGUUUUUGCUGGGUUUGCUAUGUGAUGUGAUAUGGCCAAAGGAUGUGAUGUUACAUGUGUGAUCUAUGAGAUUGAUCAUGUUCUUGUAAUAGGAUUCACGACUUGCAUGUUGAUGAGUACAACAACCGACAGGAGCCAUAUGAGUUGUCUUAAAUUAUUGUAUGAGAUGCAACGCCAUGUGUUUAUUACUUUACUUCAUUGCUAACGGUUAGCUAUAGUAGUAGAAGUAAUAGUUGGCAUGACAACUUCAUGGAGACACAAUGAUGGAGAUCAUGGUGUCACGCCAGUGACAAUGAUGAUCAUGCGAUGACCCGAAGAUGGAGAUCAAAGGAGCAAAGAUGAUAAUGGCCAUAUCAUGUCACUAUAUGAUUGCAUGUGAUGUUUAUAAUGUUUUUCAUCUUAUUGCUUAGAACGAGGGUAGCUUAAUAAGAUGACCCCUCAUAAAAUUUCGAGAAAGCAUUUCCCUAAGUGUGCACCGUUGGGAAGGAUCGUUGUCUCGAAGCACCAUGUGAUGAUCGGGUGUGAUAGAUUCUAACGUUCGCAUACAACGGGUGUAAGCCAGUUUACACACCCAAAACACUUAGGUUGACUCGACGAGCCUAGCAUGUACAGACAUGGCCUCGAAUACGGGAGACCUAAAGGUCGAACAUGAGUCGUAUGGUUGAUACGAUCAGCAUGGAGAUGCUCACCAUUGAUGACUAGUCCGUCUCCCGUGAUGAUCAGACACGGGCUAGUCGACAUGGAUCAUGUAACACUUAGAUGACUAGAGGGAUGUCAAUUUAAGUGGAAGUUCAUUACAUAAUUUGAUUAGAUGAACUUGAUUAUCAUGAACUUAGUCUAAAAGUUGUCUUUACAAAUAUUGUAGAUCCAAUGGCCAACACACCUGUCAACCUGAAUUUCAACGCGUUCCUAGGGAAAACAAAGCUGAAAGAUGAUGGCAACAACUAUGCAGACUGGGUCCGUAGCUUAAAGCUCAUCCUUAUUGCGGCCAAGAAGGCUUAUGCCCUUGAUGCGGCGCUAGGUGAUCCUCCCGCUGCCCCGGCAGCCUAGGACAUUCAGAACGCCUGGGAAUCGCGGAGUGAUGACUACUCUCUGGUUCAGUGCGGCAUGCUAUACAGUUUAGAACCGGGGCUCCAAAGGCGUUUUGAGCAACACGGAGCAUAUGAGAUGUUCCAGGAGCUGAAACUAGUUUUUCGGCGCCAUGCUCGGGUCAAGAGAUAUGAAGUCUCUGACAAGUUAUUUAGCUGUAAGAUGGAGGAGAACGGUUCUGUGAGUGAGCAUAUACUCAGAAUGUUUGGGUUGCACGGUCGUCUGACUCAGCUUGGAGUCGAACUUCCGGAUGAUGCGGUCAUUGACAGAAUCCUCCAGUCGCUUCCACCUAGCUAUAAAAGCUUUGUGAUGAACUACAACAUGCAAGGGAUGGAGAAGACCAUUCCUGAGUUGUACUCGAUGCUGAAAUCUGCAGAGGUAGAAAUCAAGAAAGAGCAUCAAGUGUUGAUGGUCAAUAAGACCACUAGUUUCAAGAAAGGCAAGGGUAAGAAGAAAUUCAAGAAAGACGGCAAAGCUGUUGCCGCGCCCGGUAAGCUAGUUGCCGGGAAGAAGAAAAAGAAUGGACUCAAGCGUGAGACUGAGUGCUACUAUUGCAAGGGAACCGGUCACUCGAAGUGGAACUGCCCCAAAUACUUAGCGGAUAAGAAGGCCGACAACAUCAAAGGUAUAUAUGAUAUACAUGUUAUUGAUGUGUACCUUACCAGCGCUCGUAGUAGCUCCUGGGUAUUUGAUACUGGUGUUGUUGCUCUCAUUUGCAACUCUAAGCAGGAACUGCGGAAUAAACGAAGGCUGGCUAAGGACGAGGUGACGAUGCGCGUUGGGAAUGGUUCCAAGGUCGAUGUGAUCGCCGUCGACACACUACCUCUACAUCUACCUUCGGGGUUAGUUUUAAACCUUAAUAACUGUUAUUUAGUACCAGCUUUGAGCAUGAAGAUUGUAUCGGGAUCUUUCUUAAUGCGAGAUGGCUACUCAUUUAAGUCAGAGAAUAAUGGUUGUUCUAUUUAUAUGAGUGAUAUGUUCUAUGGUCAUGCCCCGCUAAUCAAUGGUUUAUUCUUGAUGAAUCUCGAUCUUGAUGUUACACAUAUUCAUAGUGUGAGUACCAAAAGAUGUAAUGUUGAUAAUGAUAGUCCCACAUAUUUGUGGCACUGCUGCCUUGGUCAUAUCAGCGUAAAGCGCAUGAAGAAACUCCAUACAGAUAGACUUUUGGAGUCACUUGAUUUUGAAUCAUUUGACACAUGCAAACCGUGCCUCAUGGGCAAGAUGACCAAGACUCCAUUCUCCGGAAUAAUGGAGCGAUCAAGCAACUUGUUGGAAAUAAUACAUACCGAUGUAUGCGGUCCAAUGAGCGUUGAAGCUCGCGGUGGCUAUCGUUAUGUUCUCACCCUCACUGAUGAUUUAAGUAGAUAUGGAUAUGUCUAAUUGAUGAAGCACAAGUGUGAAACCUUUGAAAAGUUCAAGGAAUUUCAGAGUGAGGUGGAAAAUCAACGCGACAAGAAAAUAAAGUUUCUACGGUUUGAUCGUGAAGGAGAAUAUUUGAGUCAUGAAUUUGGCACACACCCACAGAAAUGUGGAAUUGUUUCACAACUCACGCCGCCUGGCACACCGCAGUGUAACGGUGUGUCUGAACAUCGUAAUCGCACUCUAUUAGAUAUGGUGUGAUCUAUGAUGUCUUUUACCGACUUACCGCUAUCAUUUUGGGGAUAUGCAUUGGAAACCGCGGCAUUCACUUUAAAUAGGGCAGCUUCUAAAUCCGUUGAGACGACACCGUAUGAAUAUGGUUUGGCAAGAAACCUAAGCUGUCGUUUCUUAAAGUUUGGGGCUGCGAUGGUUACGUGAAGAAACUUCAACGACAGAAGCUCGAACCCAAAGAGGAAAAAUGCGUCUUCAUAGGACACCCUAAGGAAACUAUUGGGUAUACCUUCUACCUUAGAUCCGGAGGCAAGAUCUUUGUUGCUUAGAAUGGAUCCUUUCUAGAGAAAGAGUUUCUCUCAAAAGAAGUAAGUGGGAGGAAAAUAGAACUUGAUGAGGUAAUUGUACCUCCUCUCGAACCGGAGAGUAGCGCAGCGCAAGAAAAUGUUUAUGAGGUGCCUGCACCGGCUAGAGAUGAAGUUAUUGAUGAUGAUCAUGACACUUCGGAUCAAGUUGCUAUUGAACCUCGAAGGUCGACAAGGGUACACUCCGCACGAGAGUGGUACGACAACCCUGUCAUGGAAAUCAUGUUCUUAGACAACAGUGAACCUUCGAACUAUGACGAAGCGAUGGCGGGCCCGAAUUCCAACAACUGGCUUGAGGCCAUGAAAUCCAAGAUAGGAUCCAUGUAUGAGAACAAAGUAUGGACUUUGGUGGACUUGUGUUGAGGCAUAGUUUAUGCCUAAGUAAUUUUGGUGAUUGAUGACAGUACCGUACAGGACUAAUCGUGUGUGUCAAGGUUUCAGGUAACACUCGUCAACGACACAAGACGACACGUCUCCUCUCUUCUGGAACGGAAGCACGGCGCUCUCUACGAUUCUCCUUAUUUGAGUCAUAGGAAAGCCGUACUAUUAAGAGGGGAUCCGUAGUGGAAAGGUUUGGGUGGAAUCUAUCUUUACACACGCACACUUCACAUUCUCCCUUUCCUUAUCUUUUGGAGCGGCCCUCGCCUAUUUGUCUCGGUUAUCUCUGCAAAAUGGUCCUCAGCGGUAGUACCGCUGGUUCCAGCGGUAGUACCGCUGGACUGCCAGCGGUAGUACCACUGGCCUGCGGUAGUACCGCCGCUGGUCAGCGGUAGUACCGCUCCAGGUGUUUUGUUCCACCUACCUAGCGGUAGUUUGUGGACGGACCCUUUUGCGAAGACUUUCCCGGCGGUAGUAGUGCUUGUGCACUACCAAGGGGCCGGCGGUAGUACCGCUAGAGGCCCAGCGGUAGUACCGCUGCAGCCAGCGGUAGUACCGCCAGGCAGUGGUAGUACCGCUCAGGCACAGCGGUAGUACCGCUGGUGCUCGGGCAGUGAGUGGGAAACCCCCCCCACUAUAUAAAGGGUUCUUCUAGCUGAGGAACCCUAUCUCUUACCUCUCUAAGCUCCAUUGUUGCUCCACAAGCUCUAAAGUGCCCGAUCUCUCUCCCUAGCCAAUCAAACUUGUUGAUUCUUUAGGGAUUGGUUGAGAAGGCCUAGAUCCACACUUCCACCAAGAGAAAAGUUGAUUCCCCCACCAAUCCCUUGCGGAUCUUGUUACUCUUGGAUGUUUGAGCAUCCUAGACGGUUGAGGUCACCUCGAAGCCAUAUUCCAUUGUGGUGAAGCUUCGUGGUUUAGUUGGGAGCCUCCAAGCUUUGUGUGGAGUUGCCCCAACCUUGUUUGUAAAGGUUCGGUCGCCGCCUUCAAGGGCACCUAUAGUGGAAUCACGGUACCUUGCAUCGUGCGAGGGCGUGAGGAGAAUACGGUGGCCUUAGUGGCUUUUUGGGGAGCAUUGUGCCUCCACACCGCUCCAACGGAGACGUACUUCCUGUCAAAGGGAAGGAACUUCGGUAACACAUCCUCGUCUCCAUCGGUUCCACUUGUGGUUAUCUCUAACCUUUACUUUGUAUUUGCUUAUGCUUGUGACUAUAUCUUACUUGUCCUCAUAGCUCUAGGUGUUAGCUUCUAUAGGGUUCACCUCUUUGUCAUAUUAUUUGUGAACCCGUAUAGUGUUUACCUUAACUUGUUAAGAUUAAUUAAAAAGUGGUCAUUGUCUAUUCACCCCCCCUCUAGCCAACCAUAUCGAUCCUUUCAAUUGGUAUCAGAGCCACGUCUCUUUAUUAGGGGUUUAACCACCCGAAGAGUAUGGAAGGCGGAGAGGAAGUUAACCGUGGGCAACCCGAGGACAUGGACUUGACUUCGGUCACAAGGGACGAAUUGAAUACGGCUAUGGCCGCCCUCAAGACGUCCUUGACAAGCGAAGUAAAAACCAUGCUUAAAGAAUUAAUUGAUGGUCUUAAAAGUUCACCCGAACCGGCUUUAGUGGUUAAACCCACCAUUUCCGAUUCGGAGGCCAACUCCUCUAAGGAAGCGGCUAAAGGUAUGCAACCUGCUUCACCUCACGAAAAGGAUGGGACUGGAACAUAUGCUUCGGUUCCACCUCCCAUGACAUAUGGAGGACCCGUUCUCGCACCUCGUCUUAAUCCUGUUGGUCCUCCUCCUAAACUUGUGAAAGGUGACUUUGCUAACUGGGUAUUUUCUAUUAAGUCUCAUUUGAAUCACAGCUCAACAAACUUGUGGAGAAUUAUCGAGCAAGGAUAUUAUCCCCAUGACCCAAGCAACCUCACUCCAAGAGAAGAUGCAGACAAUCAAUAUAAUCACUCUGCGCUGUUUAUUCUCCAGUCUGCUGUACCACCUGAAGAUCUUCCCCACUUGCGUCCCUUCACAUUGGCCAAGGAUUGUUGGGAGCAUAUUAUGGUACUGUACAAGGGAAGCUCAAGUAUUCAACGAUCCAACUAUGAAGUGAUACUUGAUAAGGUCGAUGAGUUUGUGAUGAAGGAAGACGAGGACCCUCGUGAUAUCUAUCGGAGGGUGACUGCUAUAGCUGUGGCACUAAAGGAUCAUGGGAGUAAGGAUGUGGAUGAUACAUGGCUCAAGCGCAAGUUUCUCAAAGCCAUCAUGCCUUUCAAUAAGGCCAUGUCAUCUGUCAUUCGUCAGCGGCCAGACUUCCACUCCUUGUCUUCCAGUGAAGUGUUGGAUGAGUUCAUUGCAAUGUCAAUCAUGAAUGAAACAGCCGACAGUGCACUUGCUCGUGUCCGAUCAAAAACCACUUCACCCAACCUUGCGUUGAAAGCAAGAGCAAUGUUUGAAGAAGAAGAAGAAGAGGAGGAAGAGGAGAGCUGCCCUGAAGACACUAGGUAUGCUUAUCAUGAGCAAUGGCUCUUGCGUCAAGGCAAUUCUGGGGAAAUAAAAGGAACUCAAGACCCACCUUCAACAAGAACAACUCGAGUGGUUUCAAACCCAAACAACGAGUGAGGACAUGUUAUAACUGUGGCAACGUGAGUCACUUCGUGGCAGAAUGUCCCUAUGAGAAGAGGGAAGACAACGGAGGCAAGCUAAUUCGCAAAGACAAAACCAAAUCAUUUCCAAUCAAGAACAACUUUGUGAAGAAACCUCACCCAAAAGGGAUGGUGGCCCUGGAGGAGUAUCCUUCUGAUGAUGAUGGCGAUGAUGAUGAUACAGUGGCAACGGCAACUGUUGCUAUCGCCACUACCUCUUCCCAGAAGGUGUCUCUCUUCAACGCCCCCAACGAGAACCACAUCACCAAGUGCCUCAUGGCAAAAGGUACCAAUCAGGUAACUCCCAUCAUUAAGACCAACAUUGCUUCUGCUCCUUCAUUGUUAAAUUGUGUAGAAGGUAGUGAUGUUGGAGAGCUUAAUGAGCAUGAUCUUGAUAAGUUUCUAUGCAAUAUUAAGGGAGAACCCAAGAAGCACUUUGUUGCUCUCUUGGAACAACUGGGCGAGGCCACUGACCUCAUGAGUCUCAUGAGGAGACUAUCUCCGAGCUAUAGGGACAUAGCCGUGACUAUGCCGAUGAAAUUGCCGAAUUAUCUAGUGCUCUAGAAGAAGAGCGCACUCUUCGUUUGGCUCUUGAGGAGUCAUAUAACGAUGACUGCGCUAAAAUGCAAAAGAAACUAGAUCAUGAUGUUGUUCUUACUCGCAUGCUUAAAUCUGAGAAGUAUGCUCUUGAAGUUGGCCGUGACAGACUCAAAGAAGAGUUUGACAUACUUGACAAGGCCCACAAAGCCUUGAAAGGUGUUCAUUUCUCUCUGAAAGAGUCUCAUGAUCAACUCCAAGCAAAGCUUACCAAGGAGAUCUCUACUUGUACUCCCUUUGUGUUAAUUGAUAAUACUUGUGCAACUAACCCUUGUUGUGAGCAUGUUCAUCUUAUGGAGGAAAAUGCCAAGUUAAAAGAGAAACUUGAGAAGGGCCUUGCGGCAUGCAGACAAGGUGAGAAGAGUCUGAACGAUCUCUUGAGCACUCAAAAGGGUGUUGUAGGAAAAGAAGGACUUGUACUUACCUCCAAGUCAAAAGGUAAAAGGAAGAACAAGAACAAACGAUCUCUCACCCUCAUGGACAUCUUUGUCAAAGAGGGUGAGGGGACUCAGAAGGUGAACAGGAAAAAGGUGGACCAUGGGAACCCCAAGAAGGGCAAAAAUGUUCCUACUAACACAGCCGGCAAACUCAAUUCCUCUUAUGUUUUAUGUUGUGCUAGUGAUGGGCAUGUUUAUGCCAGAUUUGUUGGUUCCUACGAUGAAGAUAUUGAAUGGGCUAUCUGGGUUCCUAAGACCCUUAUCUCUAACAUGAAAGGACCCAUUAAAAAAUGGGUACCUAAAACCAAGCCUUGAUCUUUUGCAGGAAUUUGCUUCCGGUGGGGUGUCAUGGUUGCUCGAUAGUGGAGCAACAAAUCAUAUGACCGGAAGCAAGGAAUUAGUGGUGGAUGUGCAUCCUUCUCCAUCUAUGCCCACCCAUGUCCAAUUCGCCGAUGCAUCCUUGUCAAAGGUAUUGGGAUUUGGUAAGGUGGUCGUCUCUCAAGAUUUAUCUAUUGAGAAGGUCAUGCUUGUUGAGUCACUUGCCUACAAUUUACUUUCAGUUCGUCAACUUGCAAUCAUGGGUUUUUCCACUUUCUUUAAUAUUGACACUGUGGUCCUCCUAAGGAGCAAGACUCUUAAAGUAGCCUAUGUUGGACAUGUCGAAAAUGGUCUCUAUGUGGUGAACUUCUCAAGGCGACCCACUAAGACUGCGACAUGUUUAAUGGAUAAAGUUGACGUGGGCUGGCUUUGGCAUCACCGGUUAGCUCAUGUCAAUAUGAGAUCUUUGCAAAGUCUCCUGACAGGGGACCAUGUUCGUGGACUAACAAAUGUGAGCUUUGCUAAAGACCGUGUUUGCAGUGCUUGCAUUGAAGGAAAGAUUCAUGAAACUGCUCAUCGUCCAACGACUCUUAUCUACACUAAGAGGCCAUUGGAACUCCUCCAUAUGGAUCUGUUUGGUCCUCCAACAUUUGAUAGUCUUGGAGGCAGAAAAUAUUGCUUAGUGAUUGUUGAUGACUACUCAAGAUAUACCUGCGUAUAUUUCUUCAAAAGGAAGAGUGAAACUCAACAAACAGUCAUCAACUUUGCUAAUGAAGCUCAACGUCAACAUGAAGCAACGAUCUUGAUGAUUAGGAGUGACAACGGCACCGAGUUCAAGAACUACACCCUAGAUGAGUUUCUAGGUGAUGAGGGAAUAAAGCACCAAUAUUCUGCACCAUAUACCCCUCAGCAAAACGGCGUGGCAGAAAGGAAGAACCGGACCUUGAUAGAUGCUGCAAGAACAAUGAUGGCAGAAUUCAAAUCUCCAUACAACUUCUGGGCAGAGGCCAUCAACACAGCAUGUCAUGCGUCCAAUCGGCUCUACAUCCGCAAAGGCUUGAACAAGACUCCGUAUGAGAUUCUAACUGGAAAUAAGCCAAAUCUCAAGUACUUCCGGGUAUUCGGUUGUAAGUGUUUCAUUCUUAAAAAGGGAGCUCGGUUAGCUAAAUUUGAUUCUAGAGCACAUGAGGGUAUCUUUGUUGGUUAUGCUACAAACUCUCAUGCUUAUCGUGUCCUCAACAAGUCCAUCGGACUAAUUGAGGAGACGUGUAACGUAGAGUUUGACGAAAAUAAUGGCUCCCAAGUGGAGCAAAGUGGUCUUUGUGAUAUAUGUUGGAAAUAUGCCCUAGAGGCAAUAAUAAAUUAGUUAUUAUUAUAUUUCUUAGUUCAUGAUAAUCGUUUAUUAUCCAUGCUAUAAUUGUAUUGAUUGGAAACACAAUACUUGUGUGGAUAUAUAGACAAAACACUGUCCCUAGUAAGCCUCUAGUUGACUAGCUCGUUGAUCAAAGAUGGUCAAGGUUUCCUGGCCAUAGGCAAGUGUUGUCACUUGAUAACGGGAUCACAUCAUUAGGAGAAUCAUGUGAUGGACUAGACCCAAACUAAUAGACGUAGCAUGUUGAUCGUGUCAUUUUGUUGCUACUGUUUUCUGCGUGUCAAGUAUUUGUUCCUAUGACCAUGAGAUCAUAUAACUCACGGACACCGGAGGAAUGCUUUGUGUGUAUCAAACGUCGCAACGUAACUGGGUGACUAUAAAGAUGCUCUACAGGUAUCUCCGAAGGUGUUCGUUGAGUUAGUAUGGAUCGAGACUGGGAUUUGUCACUCCGUGUGACGGAGAGGUAUCUCGGGGCCCACUCGGUAAUACAACAUCACACAUAAGCCUUGCAAGCAAUGUAACUUAGUGUAAGUUGCGGGAUCUUGUAUUACGGAACGAGUAAAGAGACUUGCCGGUAAACGAGGUUGAAAUAGGUAUAUGGAUACUGACGAUCAAAUCUCGGGCAAGUAAUAUACCGAAGGACAAAGGGAAUGACAUACGGGAUUAUACGAAUCCUUGGCACUGAGGUUCAAACGAUAAGAUCUUCGUAGAAUAUGUAGGAUCCAAUAUGGGCAUCCAGGUCCCGCUGUUGGAUAUUGACCGAGGAGUCUCUCGGGUCAUGUCUACAUAGUUCUCGAACCCGCAGGGUCUGCACACUUAAGGUUCGACGUUGUUUUAUGCGUAUUUGAGUUAUAUGGUUGGUUACCGAAUGUUGUUCGGAGUCCCGGAUGAGAUCACGGACGUCACGAGGGUUUCCGGAAUGGUCCGGAAACGAAGAUUGAUAUAUAGGAUGACCUCAUUUGGUUACCGGAAGGUUUUCGUGCAUUACCGGAAAAGUUUCGGGCUCAUCGGUAGUGUACCGGGAGUGCCGGGAGGGGUGCCGGGGACCAUCGGGAGGGGUGUCACGCCCCAAGGGGUCUCAUGGGCUAUGGGAAGAGAUAAACCAGCCCCUAGUGGGCUGGAAUAAGUUCCCACUAAGGCCCAUAAGGUUUGAGAAGGAAAAAACACAAGGUGGAAAGAGUUUCCAAGUGGGAAGGUGGAAUCCUACUCCAAGUAGGAUUGGAGUAGGACUCCUCCACCUCCAAUUUCGGCCAAACCUUUAGGUUUUGAGGCUGCCUCCUCCCCUCCCUCCCACCUAUAUAUACGGAGGUUUUAGGGCUGAUUUGAGACGACUUUUCCACGGCAGCCCGACCACAUACCUCCACGGUUUUCCCUCUAGAUCGCGUUUCUGCGGAGCUCGGGCGGAGCCCUGCUGAGACAAGAUCAUCACCAACCUCCGGAGCGCCGUCACGCUGCCGGAGAACUCUUCUACCUCUCCGUCUCUCUUGCUGGAUCAAGAAGGCCGAGAUCAUCGUCGAGUUGUACGUGUGCUGAACGCGGAGGUGCCGUCCGUUCGGUACUAGAUCGUGGGACUGAUCGCGGGAUUGUUCGCGGGGCGGAUCGAGGGGAGGUGCCGUUUGAGAGAGAGAGAGGGCCGCGGUGGGGGCGGGGCAACCGUUAGUAGAUUCAUGACCUUUGCCGUCUGCUGGCGGACGGCAAAGGGGUCUAUACUCUUUGCCGUGUGCCUCUGGCAUCUUUGCCGUCCGCCAGCAGACGGCAAAGAAGGGAGUAGGUUGACCUAAGGUUCCCCCGGCCAGAUGAGCUUCUUUGUCGUCUGUUGGCGCCUUCUUUGCCGUCUGCGGCAGACGGCAAAGAGUUGACUGCUGGCAAAGACCUUCUUUGCCAUCAGCCAGUUCUUUGCCGUCAGUUUUGCUGAAGCUGAUGGCAAAGAGUGUCUUUUCUAUCAGCUAGCAGACGGCAAAGAAUAGGCAGACGGCAAAAUCUCUGAUUCCAGUAGUGCCAGUGGCAACGUCGUUCUCUGUACUGCAUCUCAUAAUCUUUGUGGUGACGAAUUCGCCAAUUCUUUUUAAGAUGGACGCAACUUGAGUACCAAUUCCCCGGGCUCGCAUUCCUUCCCUCGCCAUCGCCCCUACUUCGUUGCAAAUAUCAAUCUGGAAAAAAAUGGUUGUUGGUUGGUUGAAUUGUUCAUGAAAUGAUGGACCUGAAUAGCAAGAUGUUAAUGAUUAGCGUGGAGUCACGAUAGUAAGCUGAUGAUGUGUCUAUCGGUCUCUGCAGUUGUUCCAUAUGCGUGGGAUGUGUUGGCCUUGUAGGUGGUUCACACAUCAGUCUAGUACGCGUACUCAUGCGAUACCAAUCGUAGUACACUUGUGUCGUAGUUGCAUCUAAGGUCCGCAUAAAUAAAUAAUUACAUCACCUUUUGUAUUUUAUAUGUACAUAAUGAAAUUACCAUACGUAAAAUUACCCUUGUUGAGGCACUAUAUUUUGUAGAGCUUCACUAUUCCACUGGUUUAUCCAUUGAAUGUUUUCUGCAUUCCAAUCGACACCAGAUCUGCCCAUAUUGCUCAUCCUGAAAUUUAGAUAACAAAACGUAAAUUUCAUGAACCGGGGGUCGAAUAUCUAUUUAGCCAGGUCACAUCUUACUUACUUAUGAGUUUAUUCUUCGAUACAUCUUGGAACCGGUGGUGGAAUAUCUUGAGGUAGACCGAACUGUCUCAUGACACGGUCAGGAUUGCACGGUUCCACAAACCACAGAUAGAGUAAAUUGCAGCGGGUCAUCCAGAAGGCACUAUCUCUCACGCGUUCCACUGGGAUGCGUUGCGAACCAAAUACCAUUUUAAUACUGGGAUGGGUUUCAUGUGAUUAGUGAGUCAUUAAGAAGCUCAAACUGGUCAUGGUAUAUGGGGUAACAAUUUUUCGCAAUUUUAGUAGACCAUUUUUUCCGACCAAGCAUCCACCGGCUGGACAUAGUUACAACACCCGCACCAUAGUCGUACGGGUUUGCCGGUUCUACUAUCUGGGGCCGUCCUACAGGUAAGUAUUCCCAUGACCACAAUUGUAGAAACUCGUACGAGACACAAAGUAAUGGAGCUUUAGUUGCGAAUGAAGUUUUUUGACCGGCAUCACACAACCCUCGGUAUGUGUGAGAAAGGAUAGCAGAAGCAAAGCUACAUGGUGGAUUUUGGGGUAAUGGUCCAUCCACUAUUUUUGCGGCAAAGUAGAUACGACCAGGCAAAACUAUCUCCCCAUGAGAAUUCAGAAACAUCACACCAAAUAGCCACAACAAAUAUGCAAACAAGUGUCUCUUCGUGGUCUCAAGAUCAGCAUAGCUAGAUAAAUUUCGAAGUUAGUAUGAAGCCAGCUGAGUGGGACACCUCGAGGCGGACCAGAACGAUCUGAUAUGGGCAUAUUGAGCCGAAGACGGCCCGAGAUAUCUGCUGGCCAAGUAGGAGAAACUCGUGGAGGUACCAAUGGCACACCUCUAAUUGGUAAAGUUGUGAUCAUUAACACAUAUUUGAGCGUAGAUGCAAGCUCUCCACAGCGAAAUUGAAAGAUGUGGGUUUACGUCCAUCGAUCAACGAGGGAUGUCAAAAGGGAUGGGUUGGCAGUGAAACUGCCUGGACGGGAAAAUGAAGGAGUCCAUAAGCCUCAAGGUGAUCAAGGAAACGAUUAUGUAUUGUCCAGGGCUUCUUUAUGGUUCGAAGCCUGAAGGUCUAAGGAGGAUUUUCAUGAUUUGGAUUUAAGAAAAGGUGGCAACAAUGGUGGUUGUCGUGAUACCCCUGCAAAAGCUGGGGCAUUUCAGCCAUAACGUGCAAUCACAAUUAAAUAUCGAAAGCUACAUCACGAUGAAAUUAAAUAUUCGAAGAUUACAUCACGACAAAAUGAAAUUAAAUAUUCUGAAGAUUACAUCACGAUGAAAUUAAAAUACAUAGCAUGAUUACAUAUCAUGCAGUGUUGUUGUUACGAUACGGGCACUCCCUACGCGAGUGAUCAGGGCACCUACAAACGCGGCAUCGCCUGGGUUCUCCCAACUGGUUGUGGUCCAUGUCAUUGCGAUGAGGCCUAGACUGACGCCGUCCCUUGGUGGUUCGCAUCAAUACGGGAACUGGAACCCAUGUGGUCCCUUCUGGCCACAAUUGCUCGUAGUUCAUAUCAAUGCCCCAUGCCCAGAACUCACCGUUCCAAGUGUUGUAUAAAUUCUGCAUGUUGAAGACCGGUGAUACGUAUGGUUCGACACUAAUUUGUUGAUCUCCAGAUGCCCGCAAUACAUGACUGCAAGGGUAUCCCAGAAGCUUGGGCUUGUUGCAAGUGCACUCACAUGAGGUUGUGCCAAGGGUCACAGCUUUGUUUUUUGCUCAUGUGUGGUGACCCUUAACAAACUUUGUUCGCACACUGACUUCCCAUUUAUUCCUAAGUGCAUCUACCUUCCUGCACCCAUGGCUUUGCGACUUCUUUGCUUUCUCAUGAAGAUGUCUUUGCAUCUUCUCAUACCAGGGCUUGUUCAAUUCAACUUGUGCCUUGGCGACGUUGACUUUAUCUGCAAAGUAUGACACAGUCCAGUUCCAAGUUUCAUCAAUUAGUGUUGUGAUAGGUAGGUCCCUCACCCCUUUAAGAACACCAUUGUACACCUCGGACAUGUUGCUUGUCAUUAUACCGUAUCGAGCGCCACUGUUGUGAGACUGCGCCCACUUGUACAAAUUGGGACAAUACUCGCUGAUCCACUGGCUCAAAUUUAUUGCUGUCCGACGACCCCUCUGGUCCUGUCUCGCCGGGAGGGAUGCGCGCUCGAUCUCACCAUUGAUACCUGCCCAGAUAACAUUCAUUUUUUUGCUUCAGUUUUCUGCAUGCACAUCCUCUUGAAUAGCUUGAACCAAUCUUUGUUUUUGAAUUUGGAAUAAAAAUUAGCUCCCAAAUGCCUCAUGCACCAGCUUGUCUCCAGAUCGGGCCACCCCUAAUCUGGAUCUUGUGAAGCCUUACUUAUCUCGAGCGCGCUUAAUAGUCCAGUGUUGCGAUCAGAGAUGAUACAAACCCCUUCCUGAUCUUUGACGACCCCUAUCUUCAGGCAACUCAGGAACCACAACCAACUAUGUUUGUUUUCGCUCUCGACUAGUGCAUAGGCAAUAGGAAGAAGUUGAUUGUUUGCAUCAGCUGCCAUCGCCACUAAGAGUGUGCCCUUAUACUUUCCAGUGAGAAAUGUACCAUCAAUUGAUAAAGUCGGAUGACAAUGCUUGAAUGCUUGUAUAGUCUGGGCGAAUGCCCAGAAUAAGCGGUCCAGGAUUUUCUCCUUCCGGUUCAAUGGAUUUGGAUGUUCUUUCCGGAAAACAUGAGUCCUCCUGUUAGCAACUGCUAUCUGAUGCAGCAUUAUGGGGGCAAAAGAGUACGUCUCCUCAUAGGUUCCAUACAACCUCUGGAAUAUCUUUUCGUUUGCAUGCCUAGCCUUGUUGUAGCUGACAGGGAAGCCAAUCAGAUCAGAUGCAGUUGCCUGCAAAGCCCUAAUACUAAUAUUAAGACUUUCCUACACAGUCGUUUGCAUGAUCUGGUGACACAUAUUCUACAGUCACAUUGCGGUGCUCUGACAGAGUGUUGGUUUGCUCACAGCCAUGUUGCUCUAUUUUUGUGACAUGCCAUGGCUGACAUACCCGAGGCUUCUUGCGAGCAAUAACUCUUCCAUGGCAUCCCACUCCGCGAUGGAUGCAUAUGAGCUUCAACUCCUUUUUAUCAGACUGCUUCACUCUAUGCUGCCUAUGUGUGGCAAUUGCAUAGCUAUGUAUUGCUUGGUAAGCAUAUUUCUUAUCUGGGAAAAUCUGCCCAACGGCCAGACUUCCCGCUUCUAGGCCAGCAAUAGAGUGAAAUUCAUUGGUGAUGCUCAUAACCUAUAAAAACUCUGGGUUGAUUGGUGCAGCGACCGCCUUCUCAGGAGGAACAACUUCAUCAUCAUCUGAUUCCGAAGAGGCAGAAGAAUGACCAUCAUCGUCAUCAUCUAGCGCCUCCGAGAAUCCAUCGACAUGUUCGCUCAUGUCAACGAUCGCAGACCAAUAUCCAGUGGCAUACACUUGUUGGCCACCUCUUGGUUCCGAUGGGUCGGCGUCGGGGGCUACAGUUAUGGCCAACUCGGCCUCACCGGCCCCGCUACUGCACUCGGCGACAUCAGUGACAGAAAUGAACUUCACAUAAACCAUGGGUUGUCCAAACAUGGAGUUAUUGGGAUUGCUUGCAAACCCAUGUACGACGCCCAUGCUGGUGAAACCCGCCGCACAAUCCAACGAUCUCCUCCCUCAACCACGAAAACCUCCAUGGUCAUUCAUUUUCUAUCCAUCAUUGAACCAAACACCGCUCGGAUGCACCUUCUCACUGCCGCAUACCCUACAUUAACCAUGUCUCUCACUACAACCGUAGUCAUCCCACACCUAGACACAUCCGCACCAGAAGGACCAUCGCGUAUGAUGUCCCCAUAGAACACUAACAAAUUUUCCAUAGUACCUAACGAGCAGCUGUAUUUACAUCGUUAGUCCAUUAAAAAUUGUUUAUUUACAUAUAACAAUUUGACAUAUUAUCACAUGAACAAAAAUAUCACAGCAAACGAUUCAAAAUAGCGGUUGCAUGCAUGAACAUAUCACCAGUUAUAUAUCAACGGAGUCGACAUAUUAUCACAUGAACAAAAAUAUAACACAGACAUUUUUUCGGCUCUUUUCUAAAUACCAGUUGCAUGCAUUAACAAAUCACCGCUAAUAUAUGAACGGAGUCGACCUAUUAUCACAUGAACACAAAUAUCUCAUACUCUUAUGUGAAAUGCUACUAUAAAUGCAGAAUAUCUCAUAUGAAAAUGUUUAUUGCUAACUUAUUUCUAACGUGUAUGGCCAUAAAAAUUAAUGUAUUGCAAAGGUCAUACCUUGAUCUUCAACUUAGUAGUGCAUAUCACAUGUCAAAAUCGUACUUCUGAAGCUCUAAAUUAUUUCAGGUAAGUGAUAAUAUACUCCCUAAAACAAAAGAAAACACAUACUUAAAAACUAAUCAAACAAAAUGAAAACAUCAUGCAUGCAAAUACGACCAACAUCAAUGGACAACUCUUAUCUUGAUCUAUCUUUUCGUCAACUACGACAUCUUCAAAAUCCAAUUUCAAACCGUCCUAAAUAACCACUUAAAAUGUGUAUGGAGUAGUUUUUGAGAGAAAGAGAAGAGAGUGAGAAAGAGAAGCAGUGUGGGCUGAAGCAAGCAAGAGAAGCGAGUGAGAGAGGAGGCAACGACGCGAGAAGAGAGUGAGAGAGGAGGCAACGGUGCAGCUGCUUUAUAAAGAAAGUAGACAGCAACAACAGCAGGAAUCAACAUCUGGUUAAAAAAGCACACAACAGCAGCAUCUCAGCACAGUACUCCCGCGCAGCUCGGCAUCGGUUUCAGCAUUGUCAACGUCGUUUCAGCGUCGCCGCGUCCGCGCGUGAGUGAACAGUAUCUGCCGCCACUAGCCGCCCGCAGCUGUCUGUCCGUUCCGUCGCGUGGCAGGUGCAACGGGAUUUCCGGUCGGCCGCCUCGCUCCGUGGUGGCAGGGCCCAACCGUCUGUGUUGGUGGCGGCAGGUGCCACGUGUCACCUGGCGCGCCUGGCGCCACGUGAGGUGGGGGUCUUUUUUAUCAUUCGGUGUGGCAUGUGGUUCUUUUUAGCAAUUCGUUUCCACAGACGGUCCUUUUGGACAAAACGCCAACAACCACCGGACCCUCGUUAUGAUACAAGAAAAAAACACCGGACCCUCGUUAAAACCGGCGACCACGAUGCCGCCGUAGGGUCGACGCCAAACUUUUUCCGAAACACUGCACCUUCAGAAUCUCCUCGAAAGGACCACAAGAACCCGGGCGUACGCUUUGCCCGUGACGAGCGCAGCACACGCUAGCGCGCCGUCCAAGCGCUCGGCGCCUCUGACCCGGAGCGCCACCCCCACAGAGGGAUCACGAGACCGCCUGCCGCGCCUUGUCCCGUUGCUCCCUACGUUCUCUUGCCCCCCCGCGAACUCCUCCUUCGCGCGCGUCUGCACAUGCCAUUUUCCAGCACCCAUCGUCGUCAUCCUCAGCGCUCUCCUGUCGCUCCCGUGCCCGUCGUUCUUGGCGUGGGAGAUGGACGCGGGGAGCGCCGGCGAGGCGGGGCGGCAGGAGGGGACGCCGACGGGGCCCGCGGCGCCGUUCGGCAGGUCGUCGUCGUCUUCGUCGGGUCUCGGCGCGAAGGGCGGCGCAACACCGCAGAGCUUCGACGGCGCGCUCAGAGUUGAGCGCUUCUCUUGCUCCAUUUUCCCAAUCAUAUUCGCGUCGCGUGCGCGGCUCUGAUUAAAGCUCGCGCGUCGUCCGACGCGGGUUCGCUCGGGUUUGCAGGAGCUCAAGGAUCUGCAGGCGCAGCUGCACCAGGCAGCGGACUGCUGCGAGAAGGCGUUCCUCGCCACCGAGAAGAAGCAGCUGUAAGCAAAGACCUUCCAUCGAACACAUUUCCUUUCUUUCCCUCUUUGGUCAUGGAAUUUUAUGGCAGCGUGUAAUUUUCAUUUCCUGCGCAUGCCGGUGAAGAAUCCUGGACAGUACAAAGAGCUACAUCUGCGACGCGGUUGUAGCGGUGAUUGAUCAUCUGGGGACCGUUUCAUCCAAGCUUGAGCACCAGUUGGAAGACAAGACUGAGAUCACGCAAACAGAGCAGAAGAUCAGCUUCCUCAAGCAGGUUGGGCAUUCUCUCUGCUUGUAGCUGUUAGUAAAUUAUGUAUGGAGAUCUGGUGUAGUCACCAGAGAUAGUUUGGAUUAAACAAUGAACCAUGUCUAUGACGAUGAUUAUGAUGAUGAUGACGGGGUAGUUGAAAGUUGAAACUUGAGAGGGUACAUACACACUGGUUUUCAGAUAACUUGGGUGCUCUUUGGAUUGGGAUUUCUUUUCCGUUCCAGUUUACCAAGUCAAUGCCGAUAUGCUCGCAUGUUUUUGUUUUCUCAUUCCAAUGGACUUGCAAAGUUGAUCGUGACUGCUCACUGAACUUCGUGUGAUGCUACCAGAGGCUCUUGACAUGCGAACAGUAUGCAAUUUCUCUCCAACUAUUGGCCGUUCGUGCAGACACUGGCGCCUGUCAAUAUCAUCGCCGUUACCUUUCGCAAUGUACAGUUUUCCAAACUGACUUAUAUGAUGAACAUGCAAAAUGCUUCAGCUCUGCUAUGGUUUACUAACCAGUACUACUUUCCACUACAGCUACUGAAAGAAACAACCAGGAAAAUGUUGCCAAGUCAAGGUUUACUCGCUACUACUAGUUACUUUAGAUUCUUUCACUCGUCUUUCUUUGCACCUGUGGUCUGCAAUUUGUAUCACUGUAUGACAUUAGCAGUACAUUUUCACACAGCAGAGGUGACCCGGAACCUUUCAAACUCAAUAGCACAGUGGCGCAGGGAGCUACUCGCACUAUGAAGCCAUAUGAAGUUGAAUCAAGCAUCGGUAAUUUUUUUGUGUGUGAAAUGAAACAUAUUUAUGAACAAUUGUGUAUUUGCCACCGUAAAGCGGUUGUGCUUCCAUGCUACUGUGAAGAAGGAUCCCAAUCACUCUGCUGAUCAAAAUUUCACUUUUAUGUACUCCUUCUGACCCAUAUUAAUUGUCGCUGAUUUAGUACAUAGCAUUUUGUAGCAUGCCUUCAACUUGUUUUCCCUGGAUUUACCAAUAGCCACAGCAAGUGUUUCCCACUUGUUUUAAGCCUACUCUUUUCAUAUCGCCAUGAUUCAUUUACCAUAUGGCUAAUGACAUGGUAAUCUUAUCAGGGAGGGAGCAUGCCGUGGCGGGUGCAGACGUUGGCAACCCAGCAUCCAUAACGAGGUCAUUUUCCUUUAGAGCAGAGGUAUUCAUAUGUCAUACUAGUAUCAUAUAUUGUCUCAGAAAUGUGCUCUAGACACUAUUUACACCAAUAAAUCAACAGGACAUUGCCAGGUGUGUGCACAAUUCAGCGAUGCACCAAGCAAUGCAAGCACAGACAUGCCUUCUUUUUUUACCGUGAUGCAUAAGAAAUUCUCCUCUGAAUUUUAUGCAGGAUGUUCACGUUGCUGCAGGGGGGCAUCACAAGAAGAAAAAGAAAGGCAGCCAUGGCAGCAACAUCAUGUCAUUUCUCAAGAGAAGCAAACGACAUGCAUAACUGUGAAAAGCGCCACCGGGUGUAGUUAGAAUGUGGCUAUUGCUAGAGUUUUUGCAAGCCAUGCGAAUGUCCGUUGUUCUGUAACAGGAUUGUAAAUGCAUGUUUGGGUUUGCACGCAUGUGCAGACGUGCAG